RNAcentral lists this transfer RNA (76 nucleotides) under Pedosphaera sp. Its description in RNAcentral is "tRNA-Arg". It matches the Rfam family "tRNA". Rfam says of the family: Transfer RNA (tRNA) molecules are approximately 80 nucleotides in length. Their secondary structure includes four short double-helical elements and three loops (D, anti-codon, and T loops). RNAcentral also lists the same sequence under 3 other names. The record is from RNAcentral. Lineage: Bacteria; Pseudomonadati; Verrucomicrobiota; Pedosphaerae; Pedosphaerales; Pedosphaeraceae.
GACCCUAUAGCUCAAAUGGAUAGAGCUCGAGUUUCCUAAACUUGAGAUCCAGGUUCAAUUCCUGGUGGGGUCACCA